UGGAGCAUGUGGUUUAAUUCGAAGCAAUGCGAAGAACCUUACCAGGUCUUGACAUCCUUUUGAAUGGUCUAGAGAUAGAUCAGGCCUUCGGGACAGAAGAGACAGGUGGUGCAUGGUUGUCGUCAGCUCGUGUCGUGAGAUGUUGGGUUAAGUCCCGCAACGAGCGCAACCCUUAUCAUUAGUUGCUAACAUUCAGUUGAGAACUCUAAUGAGACUGCCAGUGAUAAACUGGAGGAAGGUGGGAUGACGUCAAAUCAUCAUGCCCCUUAUGACCUGGGCUACACACGUGCUACAAUGGCCGGUACAAAGAGUUGCGAAACUGUGAAGUUAAGCUAAUCUCAUAAAGCCGGUCUCAGUUCGGAUUGUAGUCUGCAACUCGACUACAUGAAGUCGGAAUCGCUAGUAAUCGCGAAUCAGAAUGUCGCGGUGAAUACGUUCUCGAGUCUU
Molecule: ribosomal RNA, 447 nt
Filed under: uncultured Bacillota bacterium
Lineage: Bacteria; Bacillati; Bacillota
Description: bacterial SSU rRNA
Rfam family: Bacterial small subunit ribosomal RNA
Source: RNAcentral